Malaclemys terrapin pileata is the source of this 1137-nucleotide long non-coding RNA. RefSeq lists it as uncharacterized. Lineage: Eukaryota; Metazoa; Chordata; Testudines; Emydidae. The record is from RefSeq and is a predicted model, not a curated record. The transcript is spliced from 2 exons.
AUCUGAGAGAAACUGGCUAGUUGGAAAGCUGUAUAACAUGGAGGGUAGAACUUACAGUAGCUGUUUAGUUAUUUGGUGAAUAUGCCAUGUGCCUGUAUGAAUGCAGAAUGUACUUGUUUUCAGAUGAAGAAAAAACAAACUGAACAGACUGACAUAAUAUCAAGGUCUCACUUGUGUAGGUCUUAACUAGGCCCAUUCCAGGAUAAGAGACACGAACUCAAACAGAAUAGGGCUAUACUUUGUGCCAACUACAAAAAGCAAUAAAAUAGUUUUAAACUUCCACAAUAUACUCCUACUCUUUUUCAACUUGCAUUUACAUUCACAAAGAUCAAGAAAGUAACAAUCUAUUAGAACAAUAACGAGUAACUUAAAACUAUGGGUGGUGAAAUUUCAUAGAUUAUAAUCAGACUUCUUCAGGAAGAUGUCUUACCCCAAAUUCCCCAUUUUUUUUUAUUCUAGGGAUCAAGUACAUCAUCCUGGCACCUGACAGUCACAUGUGUAACAGGUUAAACUUCUAAUGCAGGGAUCGGCAACCUUUGGCACGCGGCUCGCCAGGAUUAUGAACAAACAGGAAAAUGAAGGUGAAGACGACUGAGUUAGCUGCAGAAGCCACUAUUUUAAGUUUCGCAUGUUGACCUGGCUGACAUAGUUGAUUUAAUUUUUUUUAAAUAUUUCAUUUAACUAUUUUAGUUAGUGUGAGCACUUCUUAUCAAACUGUCUGUACUGGGCUAUCUUGAUUAUCACUUCAAAAGUUUUUUUUCUCUUAAUUAAUUGGCCUCUCAGAGUUGGUAAGACAACUCCCACCUGUUUAUGCUCUCUGUAUGUGUGUAUAUAUAUAUCUCCUCAAUAUAUGUUCCAUUCUAUAUGCAUCCGAAGAAGUGGGCUGCAGUCCACGAAAGCUUAUGCUCUAAUAAAUUUGUUAGUCUCUAAGGUGCCACAAGUACUCCUGUUCUUCUUUUUGCGGAUACAGACUAACACGGCUGCUACUCUGAAACCUGAUUUUAAAAGACUUGAAUGUUUAACUAAAUUAAAAAAUUCAUAUGCUUGUUUUGUUAAAAUGUUAUGUUUACUGUUGAAGAAAAAAAAUCCGGGAUACAUAACGUUGUUGUUUUAGUUAAAUAAAACAAUUUAAAUGUC